UGAUAAUUCAAUACAUGAAGAUUUUGCUGAAUAAGGUCUGGUGUAUAGCAUGGUGGCUGGAUAUGCAUAGACAAGAAAUGACCAUCACAGAGACAGGCUGUGAGAAUUAUAGCCCACAUUUGGCUGGGGUUGAAGCAGGGCCUCCAACGUGGAGAUCAGCCUGACCAGGCAUGCUCUUUAUGCUCGAGACUGUAGCGGGUGUCCAGACGGGGUCACCCCAACUGUGAUGACCAAGGUGACCAUGAAAGGAGACUCUGAGGUGGGGCCCUUGCACAGGGUGUGGCCCCACUCAGAUGGACCCACUGCUUCAAGAUGUUAUAUUUCUUCUGUUUCAUAGCAGAAUAACACCACUUUUCCUCAGCCCUCUAACCAACAUAGCACAGAGAUGUAAGAGCUCAAAAUGAAUAAAUUACCAAGGUUUGAGCUGCCAUGACCCUUGGAAUACACAGUCCUCAUUUUUAUUUAGCUCAGAGUCAACCUUCACCAAGCACUUAGUGUGGCAGGCGAAGGCGACUCCCCUAGUCCAUUUGCCAAAACCAAAGCAUCAAAUGUGGUAGUUUCUCUUAACUGUUUACUCAAUUGACUUUCUUUACUCUUCAUGAAAGUAAAGGAAGGUUGAAUUUGUCUCUAUUCCAACUCCCAACAGUUAGUAGUUGGAGCCUGAGAGGGAUUGAGGGAUGAAUCAGGUACCUAAGAACAGUAGUUUAAAAGAAUAUAUUUUCUUUCUCCAAUGAGGAUGGUUGGCUCCUUUGUCAAA
Long non-coding RNA from Heterocephalus glaber (naked mole-rat), 757 nucleotides. RefSeq lists it as uncharacterized. The record is from RefSeq and is a predicted model, not a curated record. NCBI's taxonomy places the organism in Eukaryota, Metazoa, Chordata, Mammalia, Rodentia, Bathyergidae.